RNAcentral lists this microRNA (22 nucleotides) under Strongylocentrotus purpuratus (purple sea urchin). RNAcentral's name for it is "Spu-Novel-2-P1b_5p (mature (guide))". The record is from RNAcentral. Lineage: Eukaryota; Metazoa; Echinodermata; Echinoidea; Camarodonta; Strongylocentrotidae.
UAUAUGAUCAAUGACAUAUGAG